AUACGGAGGAUGCGAGCGUUAUCCGGAUUUAUUGGGUUUAAAGGGAGCGUAGGUGGGAUAUUAAGUCAGCUGUGAAAGUUUGGGGCUCAACCUUAAAAUUGCAGUUGAUACUGGUUUCCUUGAGUACGGUACAGGUGGGCGGAAUUCGUGGUGUAGCGGUGAAAUGCUUAGAUAUCACGAAGAACUCCGAUCGCGAAGGCAGCUCACCGGGCCGGAACUGACACUGAUGCUCGAAAGUGCGGGUAUCAAACAGGAUUAGAUACCCUGGUAGUCCACACAGUAAACUAUGAAUACUCGCUGUUUGCGAUAUACAGUAAGCGGCCAAGCGAAAGCAUUAAGUAUUCCACCUGGGGAGUACGCCGGCAACGGUGAAACUCAAAGGAAUUGACGGGG
RNAcentral lists this ribosomal RNA (393 nucleotides) under uncultured bacterium. RNAcentral's name for it is "partial 16S ribosomal RNA". It matches the Rfam family "Bacterial small subunit ribosomal RNA", at positions 523 to 918 of the family's 1533-position model. The record is from RNAcentral.